Small nucleolar RNA from Lolium perenne, 93 nucleotides. RefSeq annotates it as small nucleolar RNA SNORD96 family. NCBI's taxonomy places the organism in Eukaryota, Viridiplantae, Streptophyta, Magnoliopsida, Poales, Poaceae. The record is from RefSeq and is a predicted model, not a curated record.
GGGCAAUGAUGAAAAACACCAACACACACUAUCUUUCGGGGCUGAUUGGUGCACUCAAUGAGCCAUGCCGUCAAAUCUGCAAUACUAAUGUCC